Acanthosepion pharaonis is the source of this 114-nucleotide non-coding RNA. The record is from the annotation of a GenBank genome assembly. NCBI's taxonomy places the organism in Eukaryota, Metazoa, Mollusca, Cephalopoda, Sepiida, Sepiidae.
UUACGGCCAUAUCACGUUGAAACAUCAUUUUUCGUGCGAUCACCGAAGUUAAGAAACGUCAAGACUGGCCAGUACUUAGAUGAGUGAUCGCUUGGGAGCGCCAGUCGCUGUAAG